Molecule: long non-coding RNA, 558 nt
Organism: Mus caroli (Ryukyu mouse)
Lineage: Eukaryota; Metazoa; Chordata; Mammalia; Rodentia; Muridae
Source: RefSeq, a predicted model, not a curated record
GGCUGUGAAUUCAGUGUGAUACACAAUAAGUAUUCAUCAUGUAAACCUGGGUGACCUGGAUCUGCCUGCUGUGAAUCCUGUUUCCUUCUGCCUGGCUACUUUGCAAAUUGCAUCUGUUUGUGGCACGACGACAUCAUGUUCCCCUGCGGUCUGUACUGAGUCCUACGUCAGGACUGGCCUAGAACAGACAGAGACAUGAGGACCCUCCAUGAGACACAGCACAGUAAGCCUUAGACACCUGCUUGCUGCCAAGUCACACAGCCAAGACAGAGGAUGUCACUCAGGGUCCUGCCAGUUGUGUGACCAGUCUGCAGCCGAAAGUUCCAGAAUGUGUAAGCAUGUGGCAGACAGGACUGGUUAUUCAGGGGGAUGAUCUAUCUGUGGAGAUAAGAGGACAGUUGAUGGAUUUCUGGCCACUGGCUGCAGGCGGUGGUUGGCUUGAAGUGAGGCUGCCUGGGUGUGUGCCCCUGCAGGAAAAGCAGGAGGAAGGAGCCAGGCAAAGAGGACAGUCCUGUGUGGGAAGAUGUGUCACUGGUCAUUCUUUACAAAGAAAAUAAA